Molecule: ribosomal RNA, 387 nt
Filed under: uncultured bacterium
Lineage: Bacteria
Description: bacterial SSU rRNA
Rfam family: Bacterial small subunit ribosomal RNA
Source: RNAcentral
GACGAACGCUGGCGGCGUGCUUAACACAUGCAAGUCGAGCGGUAAGGCCCUUUCGGGGGUACACGAGCGGCGAACGGGUGAGUAACACGUGGGUGACCUGCCCUCAGCUCUGGGAUAAGCCUGGGAAACCGGGUCUAAUACUGGAUAUGACUCCAUGACGCAUGUUGUGGGGUGGAAAGCCUUGUGCGGCUGAGGAUGGGCCCGCGGCCUAUCAGCUUGUUGGUGGGGUGANGGCCUACCAAGGCGACGACGGGUAGCCGGCCUGAGAGGGCGACCGGCCACACUGGGACUGAGACACGGCCCAGACUCCUACGGGAGGCAGCAGUGGGAAUCUUGCGCAAUGGGCGAAAGCCUGACGCAGCGACGCCGCGUGAGGGAUGACGGCCU